This 497-nucleotide ribosomal RNA is filed under the name uncultured bacterium. Its description in RNAcentral is "partial 16S ribosomal RNA". It matches the Rfam family "Bacterial small subunit ribosomal RNA", at positions 28 to 507 of the family's 1533-position model. The record is from RNAcentral.
GAUGAACGCUGGCGGCGUGCCUAAUACAUGCAAGUCGAGCGAACAGACGAGGAGCUUGCUCCUCUGACGUUAGCGGCGGACGGGUGAGUAACACGUGGAUAACCUACCUAUAAGACUGGGAUAACUUCGGGAAACCGGAGCUAAUACCGGAUAAUAUAUUGAACCGCAUGGUUCAAUAGUGAAAGACGGUUUUGCUGUCACUUAUAGAUGGAUCCGCGCCGCAUUAGCUAGUUGGUAAGGUAACGGCUUACCAAGGCGACGAUGCGUAGCCGACCUGAGAGGGUGAUCGGCCACACUGGAACUGAGACACGGUCCAGACUCCUACGGGAGGCAGCAGUAGGGAAUCUUCCGCAAUGGGCGAAAGCCUGAUGGAGCAACGCCGCGUGAGUGAUGUAGGUCUUCGGAUCGUAAAACUCUGUUAUUAGGGAAGAACAAAUGUGUAAGUAACUAUGCACGUCUUGACGGUACCUAAUCAGAAAGCCACGGCUAACUACGUG